AUUGGCUUGUGUUGGCGCGUUGGAUCCCUGCUCAGGCAGCGACAACGUCCCACGCAUGCCUCCUCAGUUGUUGGCCGAGCAUGUCUCGGCCAUUGUCGGUUUCUUGUGCAGAAUACCUACUGGGAAGGCAUUCUUCGGUUGCGAACGGAAAGCUUCCGCCUGGUGCUGCGCGCCUUCGGGGUGCGGCGUCGGGUGGACCUCGAAGCACGCUUCGUGUCCCACAUCCCUUGCGCAUCCUUGUGCUCGGGUUGCUGGCCCAUGUUGCCGUGCGUGAGCUCUCGGGUGAGGAACAUUGUGGGGGCAUGAGGCCCUCGGCCUCUAUAUUGCCAAAAGAAUAAGCGUUCUACGCUUCGUGCGAAUGACUGCCGCGGGCGUGUUGAUCGGGUCCUCGUGGCUCGGCUCAUGCGCCCGCGGCGUCUGUGGGGAA
This 427-nucleotide unclassified non-coding RNA is filed under the name Dicranostegia orcuttiana. RNAcentral describes it as "partial external transcribed spacer". The record is from RNAcentral. Lineage: Eukaryota; Viridiplantae; Streptophyta; Magnoliopsida; Lamiales; Orobanchaceae.